Molecule: ribosomal RNA, 497 nt
Filed under: uncultured bacterium
Lineage: Bacteria
Description: partial 16S ribosomal RNA
Rfam family: Bacterial small subunit ribosomal RNA
Source: RNAcentral
GAUGAACGCUGGCGGCGUGCCUAAUACAUGCAAGUCGAGCGAACAGACGAGGAGCUUGCUCCUCUGACGUUAGCGGCGGACGGGUGAGUAACACGUGGAUAACCUACCUAUAAGACUGGGAUAACUUCGGGAAACCGGAGCUAAUACCGGAUAAUAUAUUGAACCGCAUUGUUCAAUAGUGAAAGACGGUUUUGCUGUCACUUAUAGAUGGAUCCGCGCCGCAUUAGCUAGUUGGUAAGGUAACGGCUUACCAAGGCAACGAUGCGUAGCCGACCUGAGAGGCUGAUCGGCCACACUGGAGCUGGGACACGGUCCAGACUCCUACGGGAGGCAGCAGUAGGGAAUCUUCCGCAAUGGGCGAAAGCCUGACGGAGCAACGCCGCGUGAGUGAUGAAGGUCUUCGGAUCGUAAAACUCUGUUAUUAGGGAAGAACAAAUGUGUAAGUAACUAUGCACGUCUUGACGGUAACUAAUCAGAAAGCCACGGCUAACUACGUG